AACGCACGAGACCUGCGGACCUGCGGAGGGAUCAUUACCGAGUUUACAACUCCCAAACCCCAAUGUGAACGCUACCAAACUGUUGCCUCGGCGGGAUCUCUGCCCCGGGCGCGUCGCAGCCCCGGACCAAGGCGCCCGCCGGAGGACCAAACCAAAAACACCUGUAUUACCCCCUCGCGGGUUUUUCCAAACAAUCUGAGCCUUCUCGGCGCCCCCUCGCGGGCGUGCCGAAAACGAAUC
RNAcentral lists this unclassified non-coding RNA (240 nucleotides) under soil metagenome. Its description in RNAcentral is "partial contains 5.8S ribosomal RNA, internal transcribed spacer 2, and large subunit ribosomal RNA". The record is from RNAcentral.